This 478-nucleotide ribosomal RNA is filed under the name uncultured bacterium. Its description in RNAcentral is "partial 16S ribosomal RNA". It matches the Rfam family "Bacterial small subunit ribosomal RNA", at positions 28 to 523 of the family's 1533-position model. The record is from RNAcentral.
GACGAACGCUGGCGGCGUGCUUAACACAUGCAAGUCGAACGGUAAGGCCCUUCGGGGUACACGAGUGGCGUACGGGUGAGUAACACGUGGGUGAUCUGCCCUGCACUUCGGGAUAAGCCUGGGAAACUGGGUCUAAUACCGGAUAGGACCACUGCCUGCAUGGGUGGUGGUGGAAAGCUUUUGCGGUGUGGGAUGGGCCCGCGGCCUAUCAGCUUGUUGGUGGGGUGAUGGCCUACCAAGGCGACGACGGGUAGCCGGCCUGAGAGGGUGACCGGCCACACUGGGACUGAGGUACGGCCCAGACUCCUACGGGAGGCAGCAGUGGGGAAUAUUGCACAAUGGGCGCAAGCCUGAUGCAGCGACGCCGCGUGAGGGAUGACGGCCUUCGGGUUGUAAACCUCUUUCAGCACCGACGAAGCGCAAGUGACGGUAGGUGCAGAAGAAGGACCGGCCAACUACGUGCCAGCCGCCGCUGUAA